Molecule: non-coding RNA, 104 nt
Organism: Chelonoidis abingdonii (Abingdon island giant tortoise)
Lineage: Eukaryota; Metazoa; Chordata; Testudines; Testudinidae
Source: RefSeq, a predicted model, not a curated record
CCAGCUUUGGGCUGUAACUGCCACGUUUAAGCAAUUGGUCCUGAAUUGGCACUCUCAGUUGGGUCCCGCCAUAACCGCAUCGUCACAGGCGGGCCCACAUGGGG